This 253-nucleotide ribosomal RNA is filed under the name uncultured bacterium. RNAcentral describes it as "partial 16S ribosomal RNA". It matches the Rfam family "Bacterial small subunit ribosomal RNA", at positions 524 to 776 of the family's 1533-position model. The record is from RNAcentral.
UACGUAGGUGGCAAGCGUUGUCCGGAUUUACUGGGCGUAAAGGGAGCGUAGGUGGAUAUUUAAGUGGGAUGUGAAAUACUCGGGCUUAACCUGAGUGCUGCAUUCCAAACUGGAUAUCUAGAGUGCAGGAGAGGAAAGUGGAAUUCCUAGUGUAGCGGUGAAAUGCGUAGAUAUUAGGAAGAACACCGGUGGCGAAGGCGACUUUCUGGACUGUAACUGACACUGAGGCUCGAAAGCGUGGGGAGCGAACAGG